CUCUCUCUCUCUCUCUCUCUCUCUCUCUCUCUCUCUCUCUCUCUCUCUCUCUCUCUCUCUCUCUCUCUCUCUCUCUCUCUCUCUCUCUCCACACACACACACACACACACACACACACACACACACACACACACACUUCUUGGAAAAAAAUACGAACGGAAUAUGACUGAAUUUACGAGUGUUUUUUCCCUCGACGUGUGAUUCAAUUCAGAGCUUUAAUUAGGAAUUUAUUCAGCGCCGAAAUAUUAAUUAUAUCGCGGUAGUUGACGCGAUAAAACAGAAAAGGAAAAUCCCAGAAAAAAAGCAGUAUCAGGAAAUUUGAAGCUUGAUAUCAGGUCAGCUUGACUCAGUUAUCUGUAAAGGGAGACACUAUUAUUUUUUUCCUAGAGGGAGACUAACAAAAUUUUUCAAAAAGGGAGAUCGAUUUAAAUUUUCGAACUAAAGGUAGAGUGACUAAAAUUCCCGACUAAAAAGAGAUUGAUUAAAAUUUUCCUAAAGGUAGAUCGAUUAAAGGUACCCGUAAAGGGAGGUCGACUAAAGGUGUCCGUAACGAUAGGUCAACUAAAGGUAUCCGUGAAGGUAUAUCAACUAAAGGUAUCCGUGAAGGUAUAUCAACUAAAGGUAUCCGUAAAGGUAUAUCAACUAAAGGUAUCCGUGAAGGUAUAUCAACUAAAGGUAUCCGUGAAGGUAUAUCAACUAAAGGUAUCCGUAAAGGUAUAUCAACUAAAGGUAUCCGUAAAGGGAGGUCGACUAAAAGUACCCGUAAAGGAUCCGCCUGUUUUUAUAAAUAGCCUCAGGGUCUUGAUCUCGAUGUAGUAUAUGAUGAAGAAUGAUACUCUGAUCAUCAUACCACAAAAAUCGAAUGAAUCAUGCAAUUUUUUUUUCAUGUUUAAAAAAAAUGAAAUCGAUCUCCUCCGUUAUUUGUGCACCGUUCUUCUUGUCCUUUGCACACAAAAUACUUUAUAACCUUCUUAACAAAGUUAGAAUAAAAAAUGUUAAUUUUAUUUCAUUUAGUCGCAAAAAAAUAUAUGAGAAAAUUUGCAGUCCGGAUUGUAUGUUACUGCAAAAAUAUAUGAAACUGAUGAUUUUUUUCUAACUUUGUUUUAUAACAUGUCUAGCUCUUAACCCUAAAGUUUUAUGGCAGUCGCGCUAAAACUCAAGGAGGAGAUCCGUUUAUAUAUGUAUUACUCCUAGUUUUGAGAAAACGGUGAUUAAAGAUUUUUUUUCCAUUUUCGUGUCAUAGUGCAAUAAAAAACAUUUAUGUCCCAGACCUGUUACUGUUGAUUCCUCAGGGCUCAUUAAUCACAUACCAAUGCAUUUAUCUAAUGAUGGAACUCGUGGCUCCCCCUUUCAAAGGUAUUAACCACUCUAAGCCGAGGGUGUCGCGACGCGCCAAGUCAUUCAUUGUUGCCAGGUUUGAUCUUCCAAACUCGCCUGGUUUAUACUCAUUGCUUACAGUGUCAUCUGCUUUUCUUUUUCUUUUGCCUUUGGUUGGAGUGGUAGUUCUUCUUUGCUCUUCGCGUUUCAACCCUUUUCUAUAUUGAUGUUUGUUCCCAACAUGCCUGUAAGUGGAUGACACUUGUCAUGGCCAAAAUUGUGUUCUAUAACUGCCACUGGGGUUGCAAUUUCACUCUAAAGUGUCCUGCAUAUUUGACUUCCAUGCAUUUCAACCAUACUUUUAAAUAAAACGAUUGGUUUGGUGGUUGUGGUGGUGGUGAGGGAUCUUCUAGUGGCGAGGCGCUUGAACUUGAACUUGAGUGUUGGCGUGUAGCAGUUAUUUGCGUUUUCCUUGUAUGAGCUGCCACUCAGCGCUUCUUUUCCACAUGCCGUCUCCGCCUUGACGUGAUGUCAGUGAAAGGCUUCAGGGUAAAAGUAAAUGCUCUAAUACCUUAGCAAGAGUUCAUGAAGAAAGAUCGCGGUGUCAAUAAAGCAGUGUUCUCUUAGGCACCAGUUCAUCUGAGUGGGAGGCAGGAAAGUGAUGGGCCGGGGAGAAGUUGCCAGAUGCGCGAAAAUACAUUGGUAUGUCAUAAUUUUAUCAUAUUUAUCGAAAAUAAUGUAACGACAUGAUUCCUGUCACCCGCACCAGGACUGGCUCGGCACACCCACUUAGUAGGCUUUUAAACUCAGGCUCGGUGGGUCAUUUAAAUUCGCGGAAAAAAAAUAAAGCUGCCAUUUGAGCUUAUGUAUAGACGGUCAUGCCAGAGCAUUUAAUUUAUUUUUGAUAUUUUUCAAGUAAUUUCUAAAAAUGGAGUGGCGGAUCCUCCCGGUAAGGUGUCCAUAAAGGGAGGUUGACUAAAGGUGUCCGUAAAGGGAGAUUGACUAAAGGUGUCCGUAAAGGGAGAUUGACUAAAGGUGUCCGUAAAGGGAGAUUGACUAAAGGUGUCCGUAAAGGGAGAUUGACUAAAGGUGUCCGUAAAGGGAGAUUGACUAAAGGUGUCCGUAAAGGGAGAUUGACUAAAGGUGUCCGUAAAGGGAGAUUGACUAAAGGUGUCCGUAAAGGGAGAUUGACUAAAGGUGUCCGUAAAGGGAGAUUGACUAAAGGUGUCCGUAAAGGGAGAUUGACUAAAGGUGUCCGUAAAGGGAGAUUGACUAAAGGUAUCCUGAAAAUCUUAGUCGUGAUGGAAUGGAGAUCGAUUCCUUUUUUUUCGCAAAGCGACAUCGGCAAAGUUUUCCAUAGAGGGCGAGAGUAGGCUAACAUUUUCUCGACUCGGGGGAGAUCGUCCAAACUUUCCCGACUAAAGCGAGAUCGACUGAAAUUCCCACCUUCCUCCAAAAUCAGGUCGCCCGACACCCAGGUCACAGCGACGCUCUGUCAAACCUUUAAAAGUCAUGAAGGAGGCAUUUAUUUCUUUUAUCUCUCGUUUGCUAUAACAUUGUAGUCAUGCUGACGAAGUUGCCGUGGGAGACGUGAAACGAUCUUCGAAACUAGGUCACACACACACACACACACACACACACACACAUACCGGUCAUUUAAUGUAUUCAAUCUAUUAAGAAAACAGGAAAGUCAUUGUUGAAGGAUGAGUCAAGGAGCAUCAAGUCGUGUGUGUGUGUGUGUGUGUGUGUCGACAAGUACGCACACACCCUCGUCCACCUUCCCACGCCGCGGCCGCUGAUGGGAGGCUGAGCUGAUUGAGUUACUGGAGAGGCGGAGGAUUGUGUGAGCGUGUGGCGGUGAGACAGUGCUGGGAAAGACGGGGUGUGUCGGGGGUUAAGAGCUCCUAGAUGUAGGCUAUUUGUAGGUGAAGUAGGUGUGGUGAUUUAGUAGGUGUAAGUGAUGUUUUAGGUGUGGUGAUGUUAUAGGUGUCGUGAUGUAGAUGGAUAUGGAAACAUGGAAACAUGGAAAUGCAGGCAACAGAAAGCCUAUUGGCUCAUUACGAGGUCGCCCGCUUGGGUGAUUUAAUCUGCUCGACCGCCACUUGGGGCUUGGUGAGCAGAUGAAAGCACCUCGAUAUUGAGGAGCAGAUGGAAGCCCCUCGUUAUUCAGUUUACUCCUGACGCAGCGAAAUGACGGUCGAUUCUAUAUUUGAAGGAGUUGAUGGUAUUCGCAUUUACUACUUCUGAGGGAAGAUUGUUCCAGUGGCGGAUGACUCGGUUUGAAAAGAAACUCCUUCCAAUGUCUGUGUUACAUCGACUCGACUGAAUGGGUAAACUGUUAUUUCUAGUUCUUGAGUUGGUUUGCAGUUCAAAGAAUUUGGAGUAAUCGACGUUACUGAACUUUUUUAGAUACUUGAAGACUUGAAUCAUAUCCCCUCGUAGGCGUCUUUUCUCCAAUGUAAAGAGAUUGAGUCGCUUGAGUCGUUCCUCGUACGGUUGAGCCCUGAAGGUUGGAAUCAUCUUUGUGGCGAUGUGGCCACUCAUAUGUGGCGAUAUGGAGAUGUAGUGGUUGUGGUUAUGCAAUAGGUGUGGUGGUGUAGAUGUAGUAGGUGGGAUGAUGUAGUUGCCGUGGGUAUGUAGUAUGUGUGGUGAUGCUCGGGGGAUUACAUUUGAAACGGCUUCAUACUGUCUCGAAAUGCAGUUCGUCUGGGUUCGAAGCUGCAGUUUUGAAAGGAUUCGAAUCUGGUGUUGGGUGUUCCAGUUUCCCAGUCUAGCUGUACAUGGGUUGGAAUCUAGAGUUGUUGGUUCCAGUUUCGUAAUGAGUGUCUUUGUAUAGGUUCAGAUCUGGUAUUUCCUUUCCCAUGUAGUACGUGUGGGUUUGAAGUUUAGCCUUGGCCGAAUCUUUUUAUGUUAGCAUCUGGUGUCGAUGCUUCUGGU
Eriocheir sinensis (Chinese mitten crab) is the source of this 4254-nucleotide long non-coding RNA. RefSeq lists it as uncharacterized. NCBI's taxonomy places the organism in Eukaryota, Metazoa, Arthropoda, Malacostraca, Decapoda, Varunidae. The transcript has 3 exons. The record is from RefSeq and is a predicted model, not a curated record.